GGUAAAAUGGUGUGUAUUAUGUUUUUACUUUCUCUACCAAUCUGCAAGUAGAAGUACUGGAUUUCUUUACAUAAGCAGAUUUUCCCGUCUAUGUUGGCUCCAGGGUUUUCUUUUAUCGUGAUACCUUGGUUGGUGCGUUCUUAUGGCGACAUAAUUGCAAUCUCGGUACUCAUGUGUUUAUGGAGAAAAAUUAACUCUUUCUUUUUUAUUGGCACCAUGGUCUAUUUUACCCAUGUUCAAAUCAGAAAGCAAGUGGUUGGUGUGUGUUUUGUCUGAUUGAGUUUCAUUCCCAUCCCAAGAAUAGGGGAUGUUAAAGCAGCAGCAGUCCCAAAAUGUUACACUCAUCUCUUGGCAGAAAAGCAGUAUGAGUACGAUGAUUGGAUUGCUGCUGAGAGUGUGCCAUCCAUGGGAGGAGUGAAGAAAAUUAAUUAUGAAUAUUCAUUUGAGAAACCGUAUAACACGACCAGAAACUUGAGAUUCUGAGUUCUUUUUUGUUUCACAGGUAGUUAUUAGUGCUAGAAAAACACGAGGAUUUUACUUACUACUGCUGAGGUCGGUUGUCAUGGUCAUUCACAAAAAAUGUUUUCAAUUAUUCUCACUCAAUCUGGUUUCUUGCUGAUUUUAUGGGCUUCUUUGAAUGAAACCAACUUUAGGUAUGAUCUUCUCUUUGGUUUCACUUCACUGGGUUGGUUGCUGCUGGAAAGAAACCCAUGGCACGACAUUGAAAAGUCCACUCUGAAAUUUGAUUUCUAGGUUACCACUAUUACUAACUUACCCUUAUCUUUCAGUAUUUUGUCAUGUGACUUGUACGCUGUGGGUUCAUAGUCUGACCGCCCUUAUUAUUUUCUAG
Long non-coding RNA from Papaver somniferum (opium poppy), 850 nucleotides. RefSeq lists it as uncharacterized. The transcript is spliced from 3 exons. Lineage: Eukaryota; Viridiplantae; Streptophyta; Magnoliopsida; Ranunculales; Papaveraceae. The record is from RefSeq and is a predicted model, not a curated record.